GGCGGCAUGCCUUACACAUGCAAGUCGAACGGCAGCAACGGGUGCUUGCACCUGGUGGCGAGUUGGCGGACGGGUGAGUAAUACAUCGGAACGUAUCCAGAAGAGGGGGAUAACGCAUCGAAAGAUGUGCUAAUACCGCAUAUUCUCUGAGGAGGAAAGCAGGGGAUCGAAAGACCUUUGCGCUUUGGGAGCGGCCGAUGUCUGAUUAGCUAGUUGGUGGGGUAAAGGCCUCCAAGGCGACGAUCAGUAGUUGGUCUGAGAGGACGACCCAGCCACACUGGGACUGAGACACGGCCCAGACUCCUACGGGAGGCAGCAGUGGGGAAUUUUGGACAAUGGGCGCAAGCCUGAUCCAGCAAUGCCGCGUGAGUGAAGAAGGCCUUCGGGUUGUAAAGCUCUUUCAGUCGAGAAGAAAAAGCUGCAGUGAAUAACUGUAGUUCAUGACGGUAUCGACAGAAGAAGCACCGGCUAACUACGUG
Molecule: ribosomal RNA, 479 nt
Filed under: uncultured bacterium
Lineage: Bacteria
Description: bacterial SSU rRNA
Rfam family: Bacterial small subunit ribosomal RNA
Source: RNAcentral